AGUCCAUGAUGUGGGCAUCUCCUAAGAAACUCCUGUAAUCUUUCCCAUGCUUCAUACAAUGAUUCAUCAUUCAUUUGCAUAAAAUUAAUAAUAUCAUCACGCAUUUU
RNAcentral lists this small nucleolar RNA (107 nucleotides) under Eucalyptus grandis. Its description in RNAcentral is "Plant small nucleolar RNA R71". It matches the Rfam family "Plant small nucleolar RNA R71". From Rfam's summary of the family: R71 is a member of the C/D box family of snoRNAs containing the C (UGAUGA) and D (CUGA) box motifs. Multiple nearly identical copies of this snoRNA have been identified in Arabidopsis, and it is thought to function as a 2'-O-ribose methylation guide for 18S ribosomal RNA. Lineage: Eukaryota; Viridiplantae; Streptophyta; Magnoliopsida; Myrtales; Myrtaceae. The record is from Rfam by way of RNAcentral.